GACGAACGCUGGCGGCGUGCCUAAUACAUGCAAGUAGAACGCACAGUUUAUACCGUAGCUUGCUACACCAUAAACUGUGAGUUGCGAACGGGUGAGUAACGCGUAGGUAACCUGCCUGGUAGCGGGGGAUAACUAUUGGAAACGAUAGCUAAUACCUCAUAAUAUUGAUUAUUGCAUGAUAAUUGAUUGAAAGAUGCUAUUGCAUCACUACAAGAUGGACCUGCGUUGUAUUAGCUAGUAGGUGAGGUAACGGCUCACCUAGGCGACGAUACAUAGCCGACCUGAGAGGGGGAUCGGCCACACUGGGACUGGGACACGGCCCAGACGCCUACGGGAGGCAGCAGUAGGGAAUCUUCGGCAAUGGACGAAAGUCUGACCGAGCAACGCCGCGUGAGGGAAGAAGGUUGUCGGAUCGUAAAGAUCUGUUGUAAGAGAAGAACGGGUGUGAGAGUGGAAAGUUCACACUGUGACGGUAUCUUACCAGAAAGGGACGGCUAACUACGUG
RNAcentral lists this ribosomal RNA (505 nucleotides) under uncultured bacterium. RNAcentral describes it as "partial 16S ribosomal RNA". It matches the Rfam family "Bacterial small subunit ribosomal RNA", at positions 28 to 507 of the family's 1533-position model. The record is from RNAcentral.